GACACGACUCUCGGCAACGGAUAUCUCGGCUCUCGCAUUGAUGAAGAACGUAGCGAAAUGCGAUACCUGGUGUGAAUUGCAGAAUCCCGCGAACCAUCGAGUCUUUGAACGCAAGUUGCGCCCGAGGCCACCCGGUCGAGGGCACGCCUGCCUGGGCGUCACG
This 163-nucleotide ribosomal RNA is filed under the name Brachypodium hybridum. RNAcentral describes it as "5.8S ribosomal RNA". It matches the Rfam family "5.8S ribosomal RNA". Rfam says of the family: 5.8S ribosomal RNA (5.8S rRNA) is a component of the large subunit of the eukaryotic ribosome. It is transcribed by RNA polymerase I as part of the 45S precursor that also contains 18S and 28S rRNA. Lineage: Eukaryota; Viridiplantae; Streptophyta; Magnoliopsida; Poales; Poaceae. The record is from RNAcentral.